Molecule: ribosomal RNA, 470 nt
Filed under: uncultured Glomus
Lineage: Eukaryota; Fungi; Glomeromycota; Glomeromycetes; Glomerales; Glomeraceae
Description: SSU rRNA
Rfam family: Eukaryotic small subunit ribosomal RNA
Source: RNAcentral
AGCAGCCGCGGUAAUUCCAGCUCCAAUAGCGUAUAUUAAAGUUGUUGCAGUUAAAAAGCUCGUAGUUGAAUUUCGGGACCAAUCUGCCGGUCGUGCCUCUGGUACGCACUGGUUUUAUUGGUUUCUCCCUUCUGACGAACCAUGAUGUCAUUAAUUUGGUGUCGUGGGGAAUCAGGACUGUUACUUUGAAAAAAUUAGAGUGUUUAAAGCAGGCUCACGCUUGAAUACAUUAGCAUGGAAUAAUGAAAUAGGACGUUUGACCAUAUUUUGUUGGUUUCUAGGAUCGACGUAAUGAUUAAUAGGGACAGUUGGGGGCAUUAGUAUUCAAUUGUCAGAGGUGAAAUUCUUGGAUUUAUUGAAGACUAACUACUGCGAAAGCAUUUGCCAGGAGUUUUCAUUAAUCAAGAACGAAAGUUAGGGGAUCGAAGACGAUCAGAUACCGGUCGUAGUCUUAACCAUAAACUAUGCCG